This 442-nucleotide ribosomal RNA is filed under the name uncultured bacterium. RNAcentral's name for it is "partial 16S ribosomal RNA". It matches the Rfam family "Bacterial small subunit ribosomal RNA", at positions 338 to 795 of the family's 1533-position model. The record is from RNAcentral.
CCUACGGGAGGCAGCAGUGGGGAAUAUUGGGCAAUGGGCGCAAGCCUGACCCAGCAACGCCGCGUGAAGGAAGAAGGCUUUCGGGUUGUAAACUUCUUUUCUCAGGGACGAAGAAAGUGACGGUACCUGAGGAAUAAGCCACGGCUAACUACUUGCCAGCAGCCGCGGUAAUACGUAGGUGGCAAGCGUUAUCCGGAUUUAUUGGGUGUAGGGGCGUGUAGGCGGGAGCGCAAGACAGAAGUGAAAACCCAGGGCUCAACCCGGAGCCUGCAUUUGAAACUGUGUUUCUUGAGUGCUGGAGAGGCAAUCGGAAUUCCGUGUGUAGCGGUGAAAUGCGUAGAGAUACGGAGGAACACCAGUGGCGAAGGCGGAUUGCUGGACAGUAACUGACGCUGAGGCGCGAAAGCGUGGGGAGCAAACAGGAUUAGAUACCCGAGUAGUC